CCUACGGGGGGCAGCAGUCGAGAAUCAUUCACAAUGGGGGAAACCCUGAUGGUGCGACGCCGCGUGGGGGAAUGAAGGUCUUCGGAUUGUAAACCCCUGUCAUGUGGGAGCAAAUUAAAAAGAUAGUACCACAAGAGGAAGAGACGGCUAACUCUGUGCCAGCAGCCGCGGUAAUACAGAGGUCUCAAGCGUUGUUCGGAAUCACUGGGCGUAAAGCGUGCGUAGGCUGUUUCGUAAGUCGUGUGUGAAAGGCGCGGGCUCAACCCGCGGACGGCACAUGAUACUGCGAGACUAGAGUAAUGGAGGGGGAAGCGGAAUGCGCGGUGUAGCAGUGAAAUGCGGAGAUAUCGAGAGGAACACUCGUGGCGAAGGCGGGUUCCUGGACAUUAACUGACGCUGAGGCACGAAGGCCAGGGGAGCGAAAGGGAUUAGAUACCCUUGUAGUC
This 446-nucleotide ribosomal RNA is filed under the name uncultured bacterium. Its description in RNAcentral is "partial 16S ribosomal RNA". It matches the Rfam family "Bacterial small subunit ribosomal RNA", at positions 338 to 795 of the family's 1533-position model. The record is from RNAcentral.